This 79-nucleotide microRNA precursor is filed under the name Medicago truncatula (barrel medic). RNAcentral's name for it is "MIR5286 microRNA precursor family". It matches the Rfam family "MIR5286 microRNA precursor family". The record is from Rfam by way of RNAcentral. Lineage: Eukaryota; Viridiplantae; Streptophyta; Magnoliopsida; Fabales; Fabaceae.
AACAACUCUAGUUGUCCAGUGUUUGAUUUGUAAAACUGUUUCAAGGUACAGGACAAACUGGAGGCAAGGGACAGGACAA